Molecule: long non-coding RNA, 272 nt
Organism: Astyanax mexicanus (Mexican tetra)
Lineage: Eukaryota; Metazoa; Chordata; Actinopteri; Characiformes; Acestrorhamphidae
Exons: 3
Source: RefSeq, a predicted model, not a curated record
GCAGCAGUUGUUGUGGUUGCAGCAGUUGUUGUGGUUGUAUCUGGUGUUGUGGUUGCAGCAGUUGUUGUGGUUGUAUCUGUUGUUGUGGUUGCAGCAGUUGUUGUGGUUGCAGCAGUUGUUGUGGUUGUAUCUGGUGUUGUGGUUGCAGCAGUUGUUGUGGUUGCAGCAGUUGUUGUGGUUGUAUCUGUUGUUGUGGUUGCAGCAGUUGUUGUGGUUGUAUCUGGUGUUGUGGUUGCAGCAGUUGUUGUGGUUGUAUCUGGUGUUGUGGUUGC